AAGUCGUAACAAGGUUUCCGUAGGUGAACCUGCGGAAGGAUCAUUAUUGAAUAACAGGUGGCCUGUCUGUCGCUGGCACGCAAGUGCAUGUGCACGGCAAGCUAUCCUUCCAUUACACCCCUGUGCACACCCGCGAUGGAUGUUUACAUCCUCGCCACACUUUACAAACAUUAGAAAGGAACAGAAUGUCUUUGCUUUAUGCAACUAUUACAACUUUCAGCAACGGAUCUCUUGGCUCUC
Molecule: unclassified non-coding RNA, 240 nt
Filed under: air metagenome
Description: partial contains small subunit ribosomal RNA, internal transcribed spacer 1, and 5.8S ribosomal RNA
Rfam family: Eukaryotic small subunit ribosomal RNA (bases 1-46)
Source: RNAcentral